UACCAAAAACAUCGCCUUCUGAUACUCAUAGAAGGUCCAGCCUGCCCAGUGACUAAGUUAAACGGCCGCGGUACCCUAACCGUGCAAAGGUAGCGCAAUCACUUGUUCUUUAAAUGAGGACUAGUAUGAACGGCAUCACGAGGGUUACACUGUCUCCCUAUUCCAUUCAGUGAAACUGAUCUUCCCGUGAAGAAGCGGGAAUAUAAAUAUAAGACGAGAAGACCCCAUGGAGCUUUAAACUCAGUGUCAUCUGCCACUUCAAUACCCUCUUAAUUACGCAGACCAUGAUAACUAGUUUUCGGUUGGGGUGACCGCGGAGUAAAACAAAACCUCCACAACGAAAGGAACUAACAACCUAAUCCAAGAGCAACAUCUCUAAGAAUCAACAAAUUGACUUAAUUGAUCCAAUUACUUGAUCAACGAACCAAGUUACCCUGGGGAUAACAGCGCAAUCCAUUUCAAGAGCUCAUAUCGACAAAUGGGUUUACGACCUCGAUGUUGGAUCAGGGUAUCCCAGUGGCGCAGCAGCUACUAACGG
Molecule: ribosomal RNA, 538 nt
Filed under: Microhyla nilphamariensis
Lineage: Eukaryota; Metazoa; Chordata; Amphibia; Anura; Microhylidae
Description: partial 16S ribosomal RNA
Rfam family: Bacterial large subunit ribosomal RNA
Source: RNAcentral